GACGAACGCUGGCGGCGUGCUUAACACAUGCAAGUCGAACGGACCGCUGGGAGCUUGCUUCUGGUUGGUUAGUGGCGAACGGGUGAGUAACACGUGAGUAAUCUGCCUUGGACUUUGGGAUAACUAUCUGAAGGGGUAGCUAAUACUGGUUAUUCUGCAUGGGCCGCAUGGUCUGUGUUGGAAAGGGUUUUUCUGGUUUGAGAUGGGCUCGCGGCUUAUCAGCUUGUUGGUGAGGUAAUGGCUUACCAAGGCUUUGACGGGUAGCCGGCCUGAGAGGGUGGUCGGUCACAUUGGGACUGAGAGACGGCCCAGACUCCUACGGGAGGCAGCAGUGGGGAAUAUUGCACAAUGGACGAAAGUCUGAUGCAGCGACGCCGCGUGAGGGAUGAAGGCCUUCGGGUUGUAAACCUUUUUCGCCCUUGAACAAGCCGCAUUUUGUUGUGGUGAGGGUAUGGGGUAAAGAAGCACCGGCUAACUACGUGCCAGCCGCCGCAGUAA
Molecule: ribosomal RNA, 498 nt
Filed under: uncultured bacterium
Lineage: Bacteria
Description: partial 16S ribosomal RNA
Rfam family: Bacterial small subunit ribosomal RNA
Source: RNAcentral